Molecule: long non-coding RNA, 253 nt
Filed under: Mytilus galloprovincialis (Mediterranean mussel)
Lineage: Eukaryota; Metazoa; Mollusca; Bivalvia; Mytilida; Mytilidae
Source: RNAcentral
GGGGGGGUGGGUAUAAACCAGGUUAAAUCCACCAUUUUCUACCUAAGACAAUGCAUGUGCCAAGUCAGGAAUAUCACAGUUGUUAUCCAUUCGUUUGCUGUGUUUAAGCCUUUGAUUGUGCCGUUUGAUCAUGGACUUUCCGUUUUGGAUUUUUCUCGGAAUUCGGUAUUUUUAUUAUUUUACUUUUUACUUCUUACUCAUACAUAGCAUAUGUGAUUUACCAUUCAAAGAAUUUUGUGUGUGUGUGUGUGUG